GUGGAAGCAGUAAAAUGUCUCCAGUUAAUGCUACAAGCAUGGAGUGGCUUCUGGAAUUAUCAAAGCAGAGGCACUGGCUGGGAUCUGCAUUCUGUCCCUGCUUCCACAAGGAGUAUGAGGAACACUGAGCAACACCACCACAGCUUGUUUCUCCUCAACAUAAGCUGUCAGUGUUGUGUCUGGAUCACUGCACUGCAAUGUGGAUGGAUACAGGACACACGAUAUGUGGAAAAUCCUUAAAACUGCAGUCCUGGUAGUAACCGACAUAUAUACUAUCAACAAAUAU
RNAcentral lists this long non-coding RNA (286 nucleotides) under Lonchura striata (white-rumped munia). Its description in RNAcentral is "domestica (Bengalese finch) lncRNA (ENSLSDG00000010039.1)". The record is from RNAcentral. Lineage: Eukaryota; Metazoa; Chordata; Aves; Passeriformes; Estrildidae.